Apis dorsata (giant honeybee) is the source of this 409-nucleotide long non-coding RNA. RefSeq lists it as uncharacterized. The record is from RefSeq and is a predicted model, not a curated record. NCBI's taxonomy places the organism in Eukaryota, Metazoa, Arthropoda, Insecta, Hymenoptera, Apidae. The transcript has 2 exons.
GAUAUAUGUUCUUUUAGCACAUUCUAAAAAUAUAUUUUUGUAAUUCAAUAAUAUAAUACUAUGAAAAAAUUUACAAAUAUUUUUUAUAUCACGUGAUUAUCUGAACAAAUGACACCGAAAGUCUUCCUGUUUCCUCACUUAAAAUGAACACAUUGUAAAUAUACUUAACAAACCAAUGUUUCACCAAUCGCAUUCUCUUCUACCGGGUGUUUCACAACGGACUAUAUACGAAAGAAGUAUGUAAUGAGACGCGAACCGUUAACCGAACGAAGGAAAACGAGCUAUUCGCUGGCCACUAUUGCGACACAAUAGCCAUCCAAGCAAUUACGAUAUACAUGGCCUAUGUAAACCGUUCGAAAGCGGUUCGAUUUUAAUUGACUGAAAGAAAUAAACGAACAUCAUGUCGGAA